This 472-nucleotide long non-coding RNA is filed under the name Heterocephalus glaber (naked mole-rat). RNAcentral's name for it is "lncRNA (ENSHGLG00100035672.1)". The record is from RNAcentral. Lineage: Eukaryota; Metazoa; Chordata; Mammalia; Rodentia; Bathyergidae.
CUCCAUUCUGUGCAGUCCUGCCCAUCAGUCCCUCCACUACGGCAAACCCACCCCGGGCUGAGACCUGACAUGCCCGGGGUGUCAAAAGAGGCUGUCAUCCCAUGAGUGCAAGGUGCCCAGGCCUGUGCCACCCUAGAGCAUGGUCUCUGGAUCUUGGGAGAAAGCUGAGCAUCACAGAACUGAAGAAGGUGGGCCACGCUCGGAACAGCCAAGUUCCCUGGGGUGGAAUCGCCAAGACUGAAGGACACAUCAGAAAGCAGCGCUCCUGUGAACCAUUGUGGUAGAAGAUCAGUGGUGGUGUGAGCACAGCGCUGGGUACCAGAGCUCACUUCGCUCUUUGAGAAGACACAUGCACUCAUUCCUUACCAAUCCAUUCCUUCACAUGCAAUUAUUUUGGGUGUCCUGUGGGCCAGGUCCUAUUCUAGCAGAUCAUCUUUUUCUCAGCAACAUAAAUUCUACAACAGGAAGAACU